GGCAAGGCUUUGCCGGGGAGGUAGGCGCUCCCUGUUACCGUUAACCGUCUAUAGCGGGGUGAAGCAGUCCUGGCGGUGACUUGAUACUGAAGUGUCUGUCAGUUUUCCGAACGUUGAAGCCCUGCCCUUUAUGACCGGUCCGGUGCCGAACCGUGCCAGGCCCUGACGGGAGCAGCACUAAAGUACUGUACUGGUGCUUAGAGGAUACAGGGUGGAGGUAGGAGAGCUGUCAAGGCUUCGGUUUCUGCAUCCACAGGGUUGCGUGCCUUGCC
This 272-nucleotide signal recognition particle RNA is filed under the name archaeon. RNAcentral's name for it is "signal recognition particle sRNA". It matches the Rfam family "Archaeal signal recognition particle RNA". The record is from RNAcentral.